RNAcentral lists this unclassified non-coding RNA (247 nucleotides) under Hevea brasiliensis (rubber tree). The record is from RNAcentral. Lineage: Eukaryota; Viridiplantae; Streptophyta; Magnoliopsida; Malpighiales; Euphorbiaceae.
AAGAGCCUCAAAAGCUCUUUGCACGAUCUUAAAUGACGUAUUUAUGUAUUAAACGGAAACUGGAAUAGUUUGUGCAUUUUCCCCUUUAGUUAUUUCUUCUUCUCCUUCAUUUUCCUUUGACAUUUCUUCCAAUGAUCUUCCUUUUGAUUCUGGCACUAAUAAUGUGAACAACAUUCCAAGAAAAUUCACACAACCUAACACAAUAAGUGCAUUUUUCACACCAAUUCCAGUAGGAUAACCCGUAUCG